RNAcentral lists this ribosomal RNA (1716 nucleotides) under Salmonella enterica. Its description in RNAcentral is "partial 23S ribosomal RNA". It matches the Rfam family "Bacterial large subunit ribosomal RNA", at positions 1105 to 2803 of the family's 2925-position model. Lineage: Bacteria; Pseudomonadati; Pseudomonadota; Gammaproteobacteria; Enterobacterales; Enterobacteriaceae. RNAcentral also lists the same sequence under 2 other names. The record is from RNAcentral.
CUUAGAAGCAGCCAUCAUUUAAAGAAAGCGUAAUAGCUCACUGGUCGAGUCGGCCUGCGCGGAAGAUGUAACGGGGCUAAACCAUGCACCGAAGCUGCGGCAGCGACGCUUAUGCGUUGUUGGGUAGGGGAGCGUUCUGUAAGCCUGCGAAGGUGGCCUGUGAGGGUUGCUGGAGGUAUCAGAAGUGCGAAUGCUGACAUAAGUAACGAUAAAGCGGGUGAAAAGCCCGCUCGCCGGAAGACCAAGGGUUCCUGUCCAACGUUAAUCGGGGCAGGGUGAGUCGACCCCUAAGGCGAGGCCGAAAGGCGUAGUCGAUGGGAAACGGGUUAAUAUUCCCGUACUUGGUGUUACUGCGAAGGGGGGACGGAGAAGGCUAUGUUGGCCGGGCGACGGUUGUCCCGGUUUAAGCGUGUAGGUGUGUGUUCCAGGUAAAUCCGGUUCACUUUAACACUGAGGCGUGACGACGAGGCACUACGGUGCUGAAGCAACAAAUGCCCUGCUUCCAGGAAAAGCCUCUAAGCAUCAGGUAACAUCAAAUCGUACCCCAAACCGACACAGGUGGUCAGGUAGAGAAUACCAAGGCGCUUGAGAGAACUCGGGUGAAGGAACUAGGCAAAAUGGUGCCGUAACUUCGGGAGAAGGCACGCUGACACGUAGGUGAAGUGAUUUACUCAUGGAGCUGAAGUCAGUCGAAGAUACCAGCUGGCUGCAACUGUUUAUUAAAAACACAGCACUGUGCAAACACGAAAGUGGACGUAUACGGUGUGACGCCUGCCCGGUGCCGGAAGGUUAAUUGAUGGGGUCAGCGCAAGCGAAGCUCCUGAUCGAAGCCCCGGUAAACGGCGGCCGUAACUAUAACGGUCCUAAGGUAGCGAAAUUCCUUGUCGGGUAAGUUCCGACCUGCACGAAUGGCGUAAUGAUGGCCAGGCUGUCUCCACCCGAGACUCAGUGAAAUUGAACUCGCUGUGAAGAUGCAGUGUACCCGCGGCAAGACGGAAAGACCCCGUGAACCUUUACUAUAGCUUGACACUGAACAUUGAGCCUUGAUGUGUAGGAUAGGUGGGAGGCUUUGAAGUGUGGACGCCAGUCUGCAUGGAGCCGACCUUGAAAUACCACCCUUUAAUGUUUGAUGUUCUAACGUGGACCCGUUACCCGGGUUGCGGACAGUGUCUGGUGGGUAGUUUGACUGGGGCGGUCUCCUCCUAAAGAGUAACGGAGGAGCACGAAGGUUGGCUAAUCCUGGUCGGACAUCAGGAGGUUAGUGCAAUGGCAUAAGCCAGCUUGACUGCGAGCGUGACGGCGCGAGCAGGUGCGAAAGCAGGUCAUAGUGAUCCGGUGGUUCUGAAUGGAAGGGCCAUCGCUCAACGGAUAAAAGGUACUCCGGGGAUAACAGGCUGAUACCGCCCAAGAGUUCAUAUCGACGGCGGUGUUUGGCACCUCGAUGUCGGCUCAUCACAUCCUGGGGCUGAAGUAGGUCCCAAGGGUAUGGCUGUUCGCCAUUUAAAGUGGUACGCGAGCUGGGUUUAGAACGUCGUGAGACAGUUCGGUCCCUAUCUGCCGUGGGCGCUGGAGAACUGAGGGGGGCUGCUCCUAGUACGAGAGGACCGGAGUGGACGCAUCACUGGUGUUCGGGUUGUCAUGCCAAUGGCACUGCCCGGUAGCUAAAUGCGGAAGAGAUAAGUGCUGAAAGCAUCUAAGCACGAAACUUGCCCCGAG